GACGAACGCUGGCGGCGUGCCUAAUACAUGCAAGUUGAGCGCUGAAGGUUGGUACUUGUACCAACUGGAUGAGCAGCGAACGGGUGAGUAACGCGUGGGGACUCUGCCUUUGAGCGGGGGACAACAUUUGGAAACGAAUGCUAAUACCGCAUAAAAACUUUAAACACAAGUUUUAUGUUUGAAAGCUGCAAUUGCAUCACUCAAAGAUGAUUCCGCGUUGUAUUAGCUAGUUGGUGAGGUAAAGGCUCACCAAGGCGAUGAUACAUAGCCGACCUGAGAGGGUGGUCGGCCACAUUGGGACCGAGGAAACGGCCAAACUCCCUCGGGAAGCAGGAGUAGGGGAACUUCGGCCAUGGAGGGAAGUCCGGACGAACAACGGCGCGGGAGGGGAGGAGGUUCUCGGGUCGGAAAAAUCUGUUUGUAGGGGAGAAAGUUAGGGAGAGUGAAAAGCUCAUGAAGUGACGGUAACUACCCAGAAAGCGACGGCUAACUACGUG
RNAcentral lists this ribosomal RNA (497 nucleotides) under uncultured bacterium. RNAcentral's name for it is "partial 16S ribosomal RNA". It matches the Rfam family "Bacterial small subunit ribosomal RNA", at positions 28 to 507 of the family's 1533-position model. The record is from RNAcentral.